UGACGCCUCUUUGUGCACGGGAUCUGUUAUCUUUACAUCGUGAAUUCUGUUGUCUGAACAUCAUAGAAUCACAAUUGAAGCAAGAAUUAUUCCUUUUUUGGCCAUUGUGUAUUUGAGAGUUGAAACCGCACUUUGCAAAAUGGCCUUGGGGUAUAUUGCUUUGUUCAGCUUUUAAUUUCAUCGCGUGAGAAAUCAGCGUCGUCCUUUAUUUUCUUUCAGUAGAUGUUAGUCUACUUUUGUUUAAGACGCUCAACAUUUAAUUGCUUUCUGUUUGUCAUGGUCACGCAAUUUUCCAGCUAUCUAAAGCGUCGCAUUCUGAUUGAUUGAUAUUUUAAGCUCCACAACGCGUGUGACAAGUUCUGUCAAUGAAACAAAAGCUCCACGUCACUUCGGACAUCCUGAUUGGUGGAAAAUUUCCCUUUUUAGACAAGAGGGCUGCUGGGUUUUUUCCCUUCUCAAGUAUUCAUGGUCAAAGGUUUUACGAUUUCCAUACCUCACCAACCUCGUUAUUCCAAACGCAAUGGAUCCCAAAGUCGCAAAGCUCUUCGAAGGAAAGACUCACCAAGAGAAAUUUCAAGCGAUAGCAUUCUCUUUUGGGUGCCUUUUAACAAGGCCUGCAGCGAACUCACCCCCUGACGCGCCAAUGAAGGAUGAGCUUAACGCGAAGGAGGAAUCGCACAGUAAACCGAAAUAUUCCUUCGAAGAAUUGAGCGACGAAGAGGAAACCGCAGAAUGACGAAUCAGCACGAGAAAAAAAUGCAUGGAAAUUCAAGCAAUGAAAUGAUAUGAACACGAGGAGCUUAUGCAUCACGGAGAAGUUAAGUCCCGUCAACACAAUGUUUGUGUUUGUUGAACAUUUGAUGCCAGACUGCAACAAAUAAGGUUGAAGCCUUUCAAAGGCUAUCGGUUGACGCAAAAGGACACGUACUGAAAUGGAUCUUCUCCUUCAUUUUCGCUUCGGUGGUUUCGUUCCAUAUUUUCAUUCAUUUCAAAACGGCUAGGUUCUUUUCAACUAUUUCGGUUGUCCUUGUGAACAUUUUUUAACUAUAUUAGUUAUUUAUUUCUGUGGAUAACUGCGCUCUGUAAUGUAGUUUUACUAUGCUCUCUAUUUUGGCUUUUGUGGGGCUUUAUUGAAACGUGCCGAAAGUUAAAUUUCCCAAAUUGCACUUUGAGUGUCUUAUAUGUUUCGAAGCAAGAUAUAUAUUUAAACUAUCACUUAUCAUAGAACCAUUAAAAUUGCUGUAUGUUAUUUUGUAACAGAAAAGUGUCAAAGAGCGUUUCUUCAACAUGUUG
This is a long non-coding RNA of Orbicella faveolata, 1293 nucleotides long. NCBI's taxonomy places the organism in Eukaryota, Metazoa, Cnidaria, Anthozoa, Scleractinia, Merulinidae. The record is from RefSeq and is a predicted model, not a curated record.